This 344-nucleotide long non-coding RNA is filed under the name Prunus persica (peach). RNAcentral describes it as "long non-coding RNA (PPER_LNC001604)". The record is from RNAcentral. Lineage: Eukaryota; Viridiplantae; Streptophyta; Magnoliopsida; Rosales; Rosaceae.
UCGAUCUCCGGUAGCUCCAUCUGGGAACCGAGGAUCAUAUGGUUGACGAACUGGACCGUCUUCGCGGGGCAGGCGAUGGUGACGGCUUCAGAAGGACCGUCCUCGUCCUCCACCGCAAGGACAGCCCUUGGGACCUCCGAUUGGCGACGGCGUUUGGGGACUGGCUCGGCUUCAGGAUCGACUAUCUCUGGCCGCUUACCGGUAGUCUUGGAAGCGGCGGCCUCGGUAUCCCGAUGCCUCGGUGCAGAGACUUCAUCGGCAGUACGCCCCAGAACAGGCUCGGCGCCCAGCUGUCGCAGGCGCUCCGCGAGGGUCUGAUCCUCCGGAUCCACCACCGCCUGCCG